Molecule: ribosomal RNA, 701 nt
Filed under: uncultured bacterium
Lineage: Bacteria
Description: bacterial SSU rRNA
Rfam family: Bacterial small subunit ribosomal RNA
Source: RNAcentral
AUGCAAGUCGAGCGGAGAACACCAGAUGUUUACAUCGAAGUGUUCUUAGCGGCGGACGGGUGAGUAACACGUGGGUAACCUGCCUCGAAGUGGGGGAUAGCCUUUCGAAAGGAAGAUUAAUACCGCAUAAGCUUGUAGCAUCGCAUGGUGCAGCAAGAAAAGGAGCAAUCCGCUUCGAGAUGGACCCGCGGCGCAUUAGCUAGUUGGUGAGGUAACGGCUCACCAAGGCCACGAUGCGUAGCCGACCUGAGAGGGUGAUCGGCCACAUUGGAACUGAGACACGGUCCAGACUCCUACGGGAGGCAGCAGUGGGGAAUAUUGCACAAUGGGCGAAAGCCUGAUGCAGCAACGCCGCGUGAGUGAUGAAGGCCCUCGGGUCGUAAAGCUCUUUGAUCAGGGAUGAUAAUGACAGUACCUGAAAAACAAGCCACGGCUAACUACGUGCCAGCAGCCGCGGUAAUACGUAGGUGGCGAGCGUUGUCCGGAAUUACUGGGCGUAAAGGAUGCGUAGGUGGAUAUUUAAGUGGGAUGUGAAAUCCCCGGGCUCAACCCGGGAACUGCAUUCCAAACUGGAUGUCUAGAGUGCAGGAGAGGAAAGCGGAAUUCCUAGUGUAGCGGUGAAAUGCGUAGAUAUUAGGAGGAACACCAGUGGCGAAGGCGGCUUUCUGGACUGUAACUGACACUGAGGCAUGAAAGCGUGG